This 1761-nucleotide long non-coding RNA is filed under the name Macaca fascicularis (crab-eating macaque). Its description in RNAcentral is "lncRNA (ENSMFAG00000058433.1)". Lineage: Eukaryota; Metazoa; Chordata; Mammalia; Primates; Cercopithecidae. The record is from RNAcentral.
UUUUUUUUUUCCCCCCUUCAAUUACCUGGGAGGAACCGCAGAUCCUCCUGUCCUGAAGGGAGUUCCUCCUAGGUCUGGUCAGACCUUUGUAUGGUAAUUAAGAUUUAGAACCCCUGUUAGGAAAUCUGCUGGGUUAAGGGACUUUUCAGUGGUUAAUGUUAAAUCAUCCUUUGUUUUUUGUUUUGUUUUGUUUUUUCCUUAGGAUACUUCUGAACUGGUGAGGUGUGCUCACAAUGAGGUUUCCUCUAAAAGUUUUUUUUUUUUUUUAACUUUUUUCUGUUAGCAAAGCAGUUGCCGCUGCAGAUUGAAUGCAUUUAGGCCAUCUGCGGGUUACUAGGUUAAGGAUUUUUGAUAGGAAGGCCUCAGUGCUUUCGGAUACACCCUUGUUUACACUGACAGCAAAGUGGUAUUGGAGUGUUACAGGGUUAUGGAGAAUACCUUCAAUUAUCAAUUAUAGGUUUUAAAUUUAUCUUGGCUUUUAAAGGAAUAGGGUACACUUUUUUUUUUAACUACUUGUAUAUUUCUUUCUUUCUUUCUCUUCUUUGAUUUUCUGUCUCUUUUUCUCUUUGACUUUCCUUUUGCCUCUGUCUCUUUCUCUCUCUCUGCCUCUCUUUCUCUCUCUCUUUCCUUGACUCCCUUGUUGUCUCUCUGUCUCUUCCUCUUUCUCUCUCUGCUGGUCUUUCCUUGCCUCUGCCAGCCACUUAUGCUGCUAUUCUCUCAACCACUGGGGAGGUGAGGGCUGUCUAAAACCAGCUGUAACCAAGUGUCUAUGUAUGGGAACUGGUCUAGGUGCCCUGGCUUACAGGUUACCUUGUGCCAUACCUUUGAAACAAGGGACCUAUCCAGGCUUCCUCUAAUGCUGGCCAGUCUAUCUUACACAAAGCUUUAAGUUUUCCUGGGGUCAUAGUACUCCAUAGUCUCCUUUAAAUCCUUUCUUGAAAUUUUUCAACAUAGUUCCUAGUGGGGUAGGCUCACCUUGUGCCUGACCCAUGCUUCUUCGAGACAAAACACCACGCUCACACCACACACACACCAUAAAACAAAGAAUGGGUAAAAGGGGCACACACACACACUUUCACAGUUUAUGCCAAACUAGAAUCAAAACCAAAAUCAGAGUAUCAAGAAAUCCAAGCCAGGUCAAAACCAAAACCAAAGUAUCAAGCAAUCCAAGUCAAGUGAAAAACAAAAACCAAAGUUCCAGUAUAGGCAUGUCAUGGGUGAUCAGGCCAUGCUUCCACUCAAAUGGAGUGGGCAAGUUCCAAAGACCAGUCUUACCAAGUUUCAGAUGUCCAGACUCCAAGUGCCAGUUCCUUCCUGGCGUUCAGCCACUGUGUUGAUCCUUCAUGGGGGCCUGCCACGCACUGCUCUGGCAAGGCGUUCCACCGGGGCAAUUGCCUACCCUAGCACGCUCUCAGGAUCUGCGUCGCUCAAUCCGGAGUCCCCCGCAGGGAUGCUCCACAAGGCAGGCCUAAGCCACCUAAGGGGCUGCCUUGACUGUCUAUUAUAAUCACCUCACUUUCCGAUCAGGGAACCAAGAAAUGUAGCAGGACAAGUCACAGACAAAACCCCUCAGACACGGAGUUAAAGAAGGAAGGGCUUUAUUCAGCCGGGAGCUUCAGCAAGACUCAUGCCUCCAACAACCAAGCUCCCUGAAUGAGCAAUUCCCGUCCCUUUUUAGAGCUCACAACUCUAAGGGGGUCCGUGAGAGGGUUGUGAUCAAUUGAGCAAGCAGCGGGUACAUGAUGGGGGGCUGCAUGCACU